Molecule: ribosomal RNA, 611 nt
Filed under: uncultured bacterium
Lineage: Bacteria
Description: bacterial SSU rRNA
Rfam family: Bacterial small subunit ribosomal RNA (bases 1-523)
Source: RNAcentral
CCUACGGGAGGCAGCAGUGGGGAAUAUUGCACAAUGGGCGCAAGCCUGAUGCAGCAACGCCGCGUGAGGGACGACGGCCUUCGGGUUGUAAACCUCUUUUAGUAGGGAAGAAGCGAAAGUGACGGUACCUGCAGAAAAAGCACCGGCUAACUACGUGCCAGCAGCCGCGGUAAUACGUAGGGUGCAAGCGUUAUCCGGAAUUAUUGGGCGUAAAGAGCUCGUAGGCGGUUUGUCGCGUCUGCUGUGAAAACUGGAGGCUCAACCUCCAGCCUGCAGUGGGUACGGGCAAACUAGAGUGCGGUAGGGGAGAUUGGAAUUCCUGGUGUAGCGGUGGAAUGCGCAGAUAUCAGGAGGAACACCGAUGGCGAAGGCAGAUCUCUGGGCCGUAACUGACGCUGAGGAGCGAAAGCAUGGGGAGCGAACAGGAUUAGAUACCCUGGUAGUCCAUGCCGUAAACGUUGGGCGCUAGAUGUGGGGACCAUUCCACGGUUUCCGUGUCGCNGCUACGCAUAAGACGCCCGCCGUCGGGAGGUACGGCCGGCGACGGACGUAAACUACGAAAGAAGUAGACGGCGUGAGACGUCGCCGACGGACGACGACGAGGGAGGAGG